RNAcentral lists this ribosomal RNA (672 nucleotides) under Triticum aestivum (bread wheat). RNAcentral's name for it is "partial small subunit ribosomal RNA". Lineage: Eukaryota; Viridiplantae; Streptophyta; Magnoliopsida; Poales; Poaceae. The record is from RNAcentral.
AUGCAUUGGGCAUGGAAAAACUGUCCAUUUGCUUGGCAGGGGAUGUACAGAGGUUCCAAAGGAGCUUGCAGUUUGGUACUUGAGGUGGUGGCCAAACAGGACCUCUGGAUUUGGCAAUCCUUCUUCGGUAUGCCAGGAACUCACAAUGACAUCAACGUACUGCAGUGCUCGAAUGUUUUUGCCAAGCUUGUUGAAGGUCAUGCUCCUCCAGUGAACUUCAAAGUCAAUGGGCGCCACUACAACAAGGGAUACUACCUAGCAGAUGGCAUCUAUCCGAGAUGGUCCACAUUUGUGAAGACUAUCUCAAACCCUAUGCCAGGAGGCAAGAACUCCUACUUUGCCAAGUGUCAGGAGGCUUGCAGGAAGAAUAUCGAGCGGGCGUUUGGUGUGCUCCAAUCUCGAUUUGUUGUUGUCUGGUACCCCUCUCUGACCUGGUUGAAAGAUCAAAUGUGGAAAGUCAUGACUUGCCGUGUCACCUUGCACAACAUGAUCAAUGAGAGCGAUAAGGAAGAGCCAGUGUUUGACACUGAACCAUAUUACAUGCUGGGUCCUCUUGCCAAAGUUGAUCACCAGCUACUGGCAACCUGGUCUGCCUUACUCAAUAUGCGUCAGGAGAUGCGAGACCCACAUGUGCAUCAAGAACUGCAAUAUGAUUUGGUGGAGCACCUAUAG